UACGGAGGGUGCGAGCGUUGUCCGGAAUCACUGGGCGUAAAGGGCGCGUAGGCGGCCGGAUAAGUAGGAGGUGAAAUCUUGCGGCUCAGCUGCAAGGCUGCCUUCUAAACUGUCUGGCUGGAGCACGGUAGAGGCAGAUGGAAUUCCCGGUGUAGCGGUGGAAUGCGUAGAGAUCGGGAAGAACAUCGGUGGCGAAGGUGGUCUGCUGGGCCGUUGCUGACGCUGAGGCGCGACAGCGUGGGGAGCAAACAGG
This 253-nucleotide ribosomal RNA is filed under the name uncultured bacterium. Its description in RNAcentral is "partial 16S ribosomal RNA". It matches the Rfam family "Bacterial small subunit ribosomal RNA", at positions 524 to 776 of the family's 1533-position model. The record is from RNAcentral.